UCCCCGGUGGCUCAGAUGGUAAAGCAUCUGCCCGCAAUGCAGGAGACCCAGGUUCGAUCCCUGGGUUGGGAA
This 72-nucleotide transfer RNA is filed under the name Ovis aries (sheep). It matches the Rfam family "tRNA". Rfam says of the family: Transfer RNA (tRNA) molecules are approximately 80 nucleotides in length. Their secondary structure includes four short double-helical elements and three loops (D, anti-codon, and T loops). Lineage: Eukaryota; Metazoa; Chordata; Mammalia; Artiodactyla; Bovidae. The record is from Rfam by way of RNAcentral.